UGUGCCCUACGGGGGGCAGCAGUGGGGAAUAUUGCACGAUGGGGGAAACCCUGAUGCAGCGACGCCGCGUGAGUGAAGAAGUAUUUCGGUAUGUAAAGCUCUAUCAGCAGGGAAGAAAAUGACGGUACCUGACUAAGAAGCCCCGGCUAACUACGUGCCAGCAGCCGCGGUAAUACGUAGGGGGCAAGCGUUAUCCGGAUUUAUUGGGUUUAAAGGGUGCGCAGGCGGCGAGUUAAGUCAGCGGUAAAAUUUCGGGGCUCAACCCCGACGAGCCGUUGAAACUGGCUUGCUAGAGUGGGCGAGAA
RNAcentral lists this ribosomal RNA (305 nucleotides) under uncultured bacterium. RNAcentral describes it as "bacterial SSU rRNA". It matches the Rfam family "Bacterial small subunit ribosomal RNA", at positions 333 to 656 of the family's 1533-position model. The record is from RNAcentral.